Molecule: ribosomal RNA, 413 nt
Filed under: uncultured microorganism
Description: bacterial SSU rRNA
Rfam family: Archaeal small subunit ribosomal RNA
Source: RNAcentral
GCGCAGCAGGCGAGAAACCUCCGCAAUGCGCGAAAGCGCGACGGGGCCACCCCGAGUGCCGCCCGCUGAGGGCGGCUUUUCCCCGGUGUAGACAGCCGGGGGAAUAAGGGGAGGGCAAGUCUGGUGUCAGCCGCCGCGGUAAUACCAGCUCCCCGAGUGGUGGGGACGAUUAUUGGGCCUAAAGCGUCCGUAGCCGGCCCGGCAAGUCUCCCGUUAAAUCCAGCGAUCUAAUCGCUGGACUGCGGGAGAUACUGUCGGGCUAGGGGGCGGGAGAGGCCGACGGUAUUCCCGGGGUAGGGGUGAAAUCCUAUAAUCCCGGGAGGACCACCAGUGGCGAAGGCUGCCGGCUGGAACGCGCCCGACGGUGAGGGACGAAAGCCGGGGGAGCGAACCGGAUUAGAUACCCCUGUAGU